This 1260-nucleotide ribosomal RNA is filed under the name Triticum aestivum (bread wheat). Its description in RNAcentral is "partial small subunit ribosomal RNA". Lineage: Eukaryota; Viridiplantae; Streptophyta; Magnoliopsida; Poales; Poaceae. The record is from RNAcentral.
AUGAUUGCUGAAUUCGAUCAUGUGAUGCAAGAACAUAUUAGGCGCAUUCAAAGUAAUGAAAUACAUCAUCAUUAUCUUGGCCACACUAUUCAGAAUGAGUUGAUUUCUCUCCUUGCUGACGCCGUGAAAAAGGUUAUCUUACGCACCAUCAAGGAUGCCAAGUAUUUCUCUGUUAUAUUGGACUGUACCCCGGAUGUGAGCCAUGAAGAGCAAAUGACGCUAAUUGUGCGUUGUGUCAAUAUGUCAAGUAACAUUCCGAGAGUGGAGGAGUUUUUCCUAGAAUUCUUAAAGGUUGAUGACACAUCAGGAUUGGAGAAGUCUUCUACUGAUGAUCCAGCUGCAGUAAGUGAUGCUCAAUCUUUGUUCAGUGCACUUGGGAAAUUUGAGACUUUGGUUGGUAUGGUUAUUUGGCAUGAUAUUUUAUUUUCUGUCAAUAUGGUGAGCAAAAAGUUACAGGAAAAAAUUGUGUGCAUCGAUGCUACUCUCAAACACAUUGAAGGGGUCAUUUCAUAUUUUGAGAAGUAUAGAGAUGAAGGCUUCUAUUCUAGUAUUGAGAGUGCCAAACUCAUUGCAGCGAAUAUGGACAUAGAGCCAAAAUUUCGUACAAAACGUCAAAGUAAAAGGAAGAGGCAUUUUGAUGAAAUCAAUGAUGUAGAUGAAGAUCCACAACUGUCAGCUAUUGAAUCCUUCAGAGUUACUUACUUUCUUGUCAUUGUUGACACUGCAAUUGCUUCAUUGAAUAGUCGAUUUGAGCAGCUGAAGGCAUUUGAAAAGGUGUUUGGUUUCUUAUUCAACUCAAAUAAGUUGAAGUCAUUGGACGAUAGUAAUCUACGAAAAUCUUGCACUAUUUUUGCACAAACUUUUACUCAUGAAAAGUCACAUGAUAUUGACCUUGAUGAUUUUUUCUCUGAGUUAAAAGUGUUGAAGGUAACUUUGCCAGAUGAUUUGAUGUCAGCACCUGAGAUUCUUCAAUUUGUUACAGCUGUCGGUUGCUAUCCAAAUGUGUCAGUUGCUUAUCGGAUCCUCUUGACUAUACCGGUGACUGUAGCCUCAGCUGAAAGAAGUUUCUCUAAACUGAAACUACUGAAAAAUUGUUUGAGGUCAACUAUGUUACAAGAGAGAUUGAAUGGCUUGGCUACCUGUUGUAUUGAGAAGGAUAUCUUGGACAGAAUUGAUCUUGAUACUCUCAUCAAUGAUUUUGCAUCCCGAAAUGCUCGAAGAAGUUUUUUUUUUGAAAAACUGAUGUAUUAUUGUCGAUGA